GAAAGCCGUGUGAUGGGAAACUGUCGCGCACGGUUUGGGGCGGGGGAAAACUUGGAGAUGAUAUCAAAGAGUUACCUAUCGUUAAAAGUGUCUACCCCAC
Non-coding RNA from Blautia sp., 100 nucleotides. The record is from Rfam. Lineage: Bacteria; Bacillati; Bacillota; Clostridia; Lachnospirales; Lachnospiraceae.